AAAAAUCUUUUGCUCACUCCUGUACGUUUGCACAUACACUAUAUAUGUCUAGAAACAUCCAUUUAUCACCAUAUCUCUAUGCAUAAUCUCAAAGUGUUAUAGUGUUAUUUCAAUUUUCUUCACUGUAAAUGAACAAUUUUUGUUCCCUUCAUCUUACAGUGGGUUACGAUUGUAGGUUUGUUCAUCUUUCAGUAUUCGCUUAUUUUUUAUUCUCACUUUUUUAUUUUCUUUUUCAAUCCUUGCCUUUUGGGGGUUCUUUUUGGAUAGAGUGAUCGAGAGAUAAAAGCGAUAUCUUUCCUUCAAAAAGCUAUAUAACUAUGUCGAAUUGUCCUCUACUUCGGUACUAACGCAAUUGUUGAUCAUCUAGCCUCUGAUGUGUUUAUUAUAUCCAAACCAGUUUCUUCCUUCUUUACCAUUCAGUCUCUGCUGCAUGCUCAAGGUAAUUUUGACAUUUAAUUUUUGGUCAUAAAUUUUCCACUUUUGCUUUAGAAUUUGAGUUGUUUCGUUGUUUACUAAAAUGUGUGUGCUUUAUGUUAGAUUAUUUCACUUAGGGGUUGUUUAUAUUGUGCAAAUUGGGUUUCUUCCUAGAAAGGGUAAGUUUUAUACUGUUAUUAAUGUACUGAAAAUGGUAUGGUUUAUAUUUGAUUUUCUCAUUCGGGAGUUGUUUACUGUAAAGGAUACUUUCAGUUUUUGUGAUCUCACUUAGAAUUUGUUUAUAUUGUGUAAAUGUUGGUUUCUUUUGCUACUUUGUAUUAUAUUUUAUAUGGUUCCUUAUUUAUCCUGCUAAUUUGAUAAUAGUUUUGUUGUAUUAGGAAUUUGAAAUCACUGUAUGAAAAUAUAUAUGGGGGUUAUCCAUCGACUUUGAGGAUUUAUUUCACGAGUAGACUUAUUGUGACACAUCAUUCAAAAUUAGAACAUACUUGAGGUCUUACAACUUAUUAAGACUAAUUCGUGUAGUGAAAUUUCCAAGCCACUUAUAUAUAUUAGUAGAGUAAAGUGAUUUUUAAAAGAAGUGUUUCAAAAUGAGAAUUUUACUUGACAUCAUUUUCUCUAUUUCAUCAAAAGUUAUCUUAUUUUUGUUGGAGUAUAUGUUUCUUUAUUAGCUUUUAUAUUUUCUUCACCGUUAUUUUAACUUUACAUAUCUCUUUGAGUUGAUUUACUUGAUUCGAGGGUCCUUUCAGAACAACCUCUCUAUCGCCCCAAGAUAGGGGUAAGGUUUGCCAACACUUUAUCCUCCUCAGACCCCACUUGUCGGAUAUCAUUGGUUAUGUUGUUGUUGAACUGGAAAAAUGUUUAAUAAACAGUUGGAGUUAGUAACUCAUUUAACCUAGGUAUCCACUAAAUUCAGCCUCUGAGUUAGAAAAAUAGAGAUGAGCCAUCUGAAUCUAUAGUCUUGCGUCUACUGCAUGAUUAAUGAUUGUCUUGAAUCUAAUAACAUUAGAGUGUGUAGUAAGGAUUGUGAUUAUAGGUUCGCGAUGUACCACUAGUCGCUCAAUGUCAAUUUUAUAGGGAUCAUAUGGCCUUGUUCCAUGGAAGAAAAUAAAACAAAAUGUGGUUGCACUGUCGGUACAACCAUAGUUAGAUAAUGUAUUAGUUGAAAAA
Long non-coding RNA from Capsicum annuum, 1602 nucleotides. RefSeq lists it as uncharacterized. Lineage: Eukaryota; Viridiplantae; Streptophyta; Magnoliopsida; Solanales; Solanaceae. The record is from RefSeq and is a predicted model, not a curated record. The transcript is spliced from 2 exons.